RNAcentral lists this long non-coding RNA (608 nucleotides) under Equus caballus (horse). RNAcentral's name for it is "lncRNA (ENSECAG00000056011.1)". The record is from RNAcentral. Lineage: Eukaryota; Metazoa; Chordata; Mammalia; Perissodactyla; Equidae.
CUUUUUCCUGUGCUGUGUCUGGCUAUAUUUGAGUAUUGUCACUUUCCACCCUCCACUGACUCUACUAGGGGUGUCCCUAGUACCCUCAUUAUUGCUGUCUCCACCUCUGGGGGUCACUGAUGCCUUGCUCUUGCCAGUGUCACUGCAGUCACUGGCCUCGCCACCAGGGGCACAGUAAAGGGAGGAUGCCUCUGUCACGUCCAGGAUCACCUGAGUCAUAAGAACUGCCUCCAUGACUAGUCCAAGAACCUAGAAGAGAAGGAGAAAAAAAUUUCCUCCCCGACAAUUUUGGCACCCAAUGUAGAGCUCUUCACUAGCUAACACGGCUUGCUCUGUGGCUGCUGCAGCUGAGAGAUCCCGGGACCUCUGAAAAAAGCCAGCAGAAGUUAAAGUUUAUUACCAUGUCAGUCUACCAGAUCUCUGCCUGCGGGAUCUGAUGGAAGUGAGUGUGGCGAGGGUCCUUUUCUUUUUCUAAACAUCAAUUAAUGGUAGAAAACAUUCGUGUGAACAAGUGUCUUGGGUAUAGCGACUUUGGUAAAAGAUUUGUUAUGACUCUUCUUGUUUUCUAUUGAUCCUCUUCCUCCCAGGGAUGGUCAUUGUUUUCUUUU